Molecule: ribosomal RNA, 465 nt
Filed under: uncultured bacterium
Lineage: Bacteria
Description: bacterial SSU rRNA
Rfam family: Bacterial small subunit ribosomal RNA
Source: RNAcentral
GAUGAACGCUGGCGGCGUGCUUAACACAUGCAAGUCGAACGGGAUCGGCUGGAGCUUGCUCCGGCCGUGAGAGUGGCGAACGGGUGAGUAAUGCGUGACCGACCUGCCCCAUACACCGGAAUAGCUCCUGGAAACGGGUGGUAAUGCCGGAUGCUCCGACAUGACGCAUGUCGUGUUGGGAAAGAUUCAUCGGUAUGGGAUGGGGUCGCGUCCUAUCAGGUAGUCGGCGGGGUAACGGCCCACCGAGCCUACGACGGGUAGCCGGCCUGAGAGGGCGACCGGCCACAUUGGGACUGAGAUACGGCCCAGACUCCUACGGGAGGCAGCAGUGGGGAAUAUUGCACAAUGGGCGCAAGCCUGAUGCAGCGACGCCGCGUGCGGGAUGACGGCCUUCGGGUUGUAAACCGCUUUUGACUGGGAGCAAGCCCUUCGGGGUGAGUGUACCUUUCGAAUAAGCACCGGCUA